Molecule: long non-coding RNA, 7171 nt
Filed under: Lotus japonicus
Lineage: Eukaryota; Viridiplantae; Streptophyta; Magnoliopsida; Fabales; Fabaceae
Description: long non-coding RNA (LJAP_LNC002045)
Source: RNAcentral
AAGAUGUAUCCAUAGGUGUUAUUUUUUCAGUUUCAUAUUUCUAAUGCUAAAUUAAACGCAAGCUCUAAGUUUUCAACUUGUUUUAUUUUUUAUACAUGCAGUUAAAGGCAAAGGGGGAAAAGGAAACAUGAAAUUGAUUAUUGCCAUUUCUGUGGCAAUUGGUGCAGUUACCUUAGCUGUUUGUUCAUAUAUUUUGUGGCGGAAAUUCACUGCCAAGCCUACAGGUAACGUUGCCUUGUUACCAUUUCUUACAUAAUUUCAAGAGCAUUCACGUUUUUCUUGUGCUAUUAGAAAAGAGAGUAUUAUUUCAUGUGGCAGCUGGGCAUCAUGCUAGUUUGCAUAUUGCAUAGAUAUAAUGGAUUGUAUUUCUUCAAAUUCUCCAUUACAUCUUAGACUUCCAAUCAAACCUAUAACUUUUUAGUGUUCAUAUAUAUAUUAGCUUGAUGAUUGGCAAGAAAAAAUAUAAAAAUCAAAUGGCUUAUUAGUAGAUAAAUUUUAAUAAAUGUUCUUUUUAAUUUGUUCAUAAUCAAAUGGCUCUAAAGUCCUUACUAGAGACACCAAACUGCAAAAUAAAUAACAAAAUCGUGCUUGGUCUUACCGAUCAAAGUCCGAUCCACUCUGUUAAUUAAGGGCCAACUAUACUCAAUAGUCAAAGUUGGUGUGCUGUUAAGUGAUACUGUAUGUAAUAUUAUCCUAUAAGACUCACUGACUCAUAGUAUAAGUGGUGGACUUGGUGAUGAUAAAGACGUGACUAGAAUUGGUGCGUGAAUAAUCCAAGAACAUUGAAAUUUCGGUGCGUGGCUAGAAUGUGUAAUGUUUCAUCCACACCUUUCUUUUGAAGUGGAGAGGUGGAAUGAUGAAAGAGAUAGGAAGAAAAGAAAAAGUAAGAGAGAGAAAAAAUGAGAUGUGAUAGAUGAUAAGAUGAGAGAGAUAGAAAUAAAAAGAGGUGGAAAUUGAGUGUUUAAAAAAUGAGGUGUGUAUAUAUCAUUACUUUGGCUAGAAUUGGUGCGUGAACGCUGGAAUUUGCAAGCACAUAAGUUGGACUGUUUUGAAUCCAGUAGUGCUCACAUACGAGUACGGUACCGGAUACUUGUAUGUAUGAGAUACGGUAUUUUUAGAAAAUCCUGGAUAUGAGUACAUUAAUUAGUAUAUAUAAUAUUUAUAAAGAUAUAUUAGUAGCUGGAUACAGUAGUUCAUCAUCCUCGGGGUAGACCUAAAAAAGUGAAGCGUAGAGGAAGGCAGAAGCGGGUUCUAGAUGGGGAGUCUAGUUUGCAAGCGGAGGUCUUGCCAACAACUUAUGGAUUAGAAGAGCGCCAGCUGAUGAUUUUGCCAGCAAAAUUCUCGGAACCUCAAGGCGUUAUGACUAGGGCGAGAAGUGCCCUUUUGAUGGGUACGUAAACGCUUGGGCUUGGUGUACGACUGCUCUGACCUUAUGGCUUUGAACCGGAUUGCGGCUCAAAUUUAUGCGCGUAGAUCUUCUUAGGGCUGGUUUUAUUUUUGCAGGCGAGGGUUUUUGGUUUGUUGCGGCUCAAAUUUAUGCCGGUAGAUCUUCAUAGCCAGUGGUGCAAUCCGUUUUUGUGAUUAGAUGAUAAGAAAAUAGAAGUGGAAAAUCCAUGGCAACGCUUAAAACAUCUUAUCAAGUGAUGGAAGUAAAAAUAAAUCCCUCCCAGACUCCCAGUUCGGAUGAAGGGCAAGGCUAUAGUUUAUAAGUAUGAUUGUUAAAAGUAAAAAAGUUCAAGGCAAUUUUGUACAACUUUACACUUAUCCCUAGCUUAUCAAUAUCCUAUACUUACUUACAACACAAUUUUGGGUCACCCCGUAUCCAGUCCAAAUAUUAAGGAAUUGGAAUAAACUUUUAAGCUUGGAUCUAUUAAUCAGAUAAAACUCAAACAAAAAAAUUCUACGUUGAGAUAAGAGCAAAGUAUACAAGAGUGUAAAAUUUGUCCUCUCACUUACAUAUGGAUUAACAUUUUUCUUUUCAUAUGUGAGAUUCUUAUUUACCCUUAAUUUUCUAUUAACACGUGCAUUAGUAUUUGUGUUUUAUUUGAAAAUGUGUUUUGACUUUUUUCUGUAAAUAGUCAAAUUAUGUGUUACUUGUAAGUACGUAAUUGUUAAAUUAAUUUUAGGCCCUUAAUUUAUAUGUGAUUUGUGAAGGAAAGUGAGUUACUUUUGUUUGAAUGUUUUGUAAAUUCUGAAUUUAUUUCGUUAAAGCAAUGCAAGUUUUCCUUAACAAAUGAUAAAUACAUUCAGGGAGCCAGCCUCAAUUCGAAGAUCAUAAAGAAAUGAAACUACAUUAUCUACCACUAUUUGAUUUUGAAACGCUUGCAACCGCCACAAAAGGCUUUCAUUUGGGUAAUGUGCUUGGGAAAGGAGGUUUUGGUUCAGUAUAUAAGGUACUUUUUUUCUUCUUCUGAGAGCUGCCUACCAUUUUACAUUUUAUAUAUGUUGCAUUAAUCAGUAUUAACUUCUUUUUUCCUAUCUAGGGAGAUUUGGAAGAUGGCCAAGAAAUUGCAGUAAAAAGACUCUCAAAAGCUUCUGGACAAGGAUUAGAAGAAUUCAUGAAUGAAGUUUUGGUGAUCUCCAAACUUCAACAUCGCAAUCUUGUAAGACUUCUUGGUUGUUGUGUUGAGCGAGAUGAGCAGAUCCUGGUUUAUGAGUUCAUGCCAAAUAAGAGUUUGGACGCAUUUCUCUUUGGUUAGUUCUUCCCUAUUAUAUAUUCUACUUCUAAAACAUAUGGGAUCGUCUCAUGUGCAUAUUUCUCAUGGCACUGUCGUGCUAUAUAAAAUCUUGUGUCUAUCUCGGUCUUCAUGCCUAUUAUAUAGGUAGCGCCCUCAAAAUAUUUAUGAGUAGAUAGAUAGACACAAAAUUUCACUAAUAACNNNNNNNNNNNNNNNNNNNNNNNNNNNNNNNNNNNNNNNNNNNNNNNNNNNNNNNNNNNNNNNNNNNNNNNNNNNNNNNNNNNNNNNNNNNNNNNNNNNNNNNNNNNNNNNNNNNNNNNNNNNNNNNNNNNNNNNNNNNNNNNNNNNNNNNNNNNNNNNNNNNNNNNNNNNNNNNNNNNNNNNNNNNNNNNNNNNNNNNNNNNNNNNNNNNNNNNNNNNNNNNNNNNNNNNNNNNNNNNNNNNNNUAAGAGCAAAGUAUACAAGAGUGUAAAAUUUGUCCUCUCACUUACAUAUGGAUUAACAUUUUUCUUUUCAUAUGUGAGAUUCUUAUUUACCCUUAAUUUUCUAUUAACACGUGCAUUAGUAUUUGUGUUUUAUUUGAAAAUGACUUUUGACUUUUUUCGGUAAAAAGUCAAAUUAUGUUUUACUUGUAAGUAAUUGUUAAAUUAAUUUUAGGACCCUUAAUUUAUAAAUGAUUUGUGAAGGAAAGUGAGUUACUUAUGUUUGAAUGUUUUGUAAAUUCUGAAUUUAUUUCGUUAAAGCAAUGCAAGUUUUCCUUAACAAAUGAUAAAUACAUUCAGGGAGCCAGCCUCAAUUCGAAGAUCAUAAAGAAAUGAAACUACAUUAUCUACCACUAUUUGAUUUUGAAACGCUUGCAACCGCCACAAAAGGCUUUCAUUUGGGUAAUGUGCUUGGGAAAGGAGGUUUUGGUUCAGUAUAUAAGGUACUUUUUUUCUUCUUCUGAGAGCUGCCUACCAUUUUACAUAUUUUAUAUGUUGCAUUAAUCAGUAUUAACUUCUUUUUUCCUAUCUAGGGAGAUUUGGAAGAUGGCCAAGAAAUUGCAGUAAAAAGACUCUCAAAAGCUUCUGGACAAGGAUUAGAAGAAUUCAUGAAUGAAGUUGUGGUGAUCUCCAAACUUCAACAUCGCAAUCUUGUAAGACUUCUUGGUUGUUGUGUUGAGCGAGAUGAGCAGAUCCUGGUUUAUGAGUUCAUGCCAAAUAAGAGUUUGGACGCAUUUCUCUUUGGUUAGUUCUUCCCUAUUAUAUAUUCUACUUCUAAAACAUAUGGGAUCGUCUCAUGUGCAUAUUUCUCAUGGCACUGUCGUGCUAUAUAAAAUCUUGUGUCUAUCUCGGUCUUCAUGCCUAUUAUAUAGGUAGCGCCCUCAAAAUAUUUAUGAGUAGAUAGAUAGACAUAAAAUUUCAUCACUAGACUCUCAAAUACCGGUCCCAAGCCAUCAUCACUCUAAGUCUAAUCAUUCUAAUUGUCCCUUAUGCACUUAACCACGUACAUUAACAUGAGUCUAGAGAACCUCAAUACAUUAGCAAAGUCAGAUGCACACAAAUAAUGACCUUGAACCCAAGUUCCUAGCCAUGUCUUAAGCCCAGUCCAGUUCUACAACUAAAAGCUCUGCUAAACACAUAACAUAUUACAUCUAGAAGUUGUUUCUCAUCUUAUUUUUGUUUUUUAAUUGUUUUAAUAAACUAUCCCUGUUCUUUAUAAAAUAACCCCUCCUAGUCAUAGUCAACUUGAUCUCAUAAUCCUGUUAUUUAUUAAGAAAGUAACGACUAAUUACAAGAUGUCACCAAAGCUGGCUUCUGAAUGAAAUAAUCUCAAAUACGAUUUUUUUCCAUCUAAUUAGCAUGUUAAUUAACGCGUAGCUAAAUUCAACUAAACCCAUGGGAGUAUCUUGACACAUACUGCCUAGCUCUGCAAUUCAAUACCGACUUUUUUUCUCCAAUAAAGCUGUUGCUCCAUUUUAUUGAAAGGUUUUAAUUUAAUUAUUCACACUAUUCUUUCUGUUCAAUCUUAUUUUCAUUUAUUGUCUAUUUUACAUUAUACAUGACUCUUAAUUUUUUUCAUUUAUCAAUAGGUGGACGCGAUGUUAAAGUGUGAACGUUAGUUUUCCCUUUUAUUGAAUAAUAAACCUCUUCGAAAAUUCCCUAUCAAAUACUAAACUUUAGGUUAGUCAAAGAGAGCCAAGGAAAUCAACCUUUCUAUUACAAUCCUCUUUACCAAGAAAAUCACCAACAUAAUUCUUCUUCUUGAGCAUAUUAUCUUACAACACCGAUGCAGUUAGUUUUACUUCACCACCAGCUUCAAAAUGCAAUUGACCCCAUCAAACCCAAACACUAAUAUUCUUGUUCAAAUAGACACAAACAAUAACAUCCAGAAAGCACACUAAGGUUCCCAUUGUUCUCUAACAUUUAUGGGUUUUCACAAUCAUGCUAAUCUGUUGUUGAUUUUUCUACUCAUAUUCUCCAUAUUUUCUUCUGUUUUGAGCUCUGUUGACGAUACAAUCACACCAUCCAAACCCAUCAGAGACCCCAACACAAUCACUUCCAAAAACGGUGACAUCAAGCUAGGAUUCUUCACCCCUGAAAACUCCACAAAUCGCUACGUAGCAAUGUGGUACAUCUCCCAAUCCUACAACAUAUGGGUUGCAAACAGAGAUCAACCACUAAACGAUUCAUCCAGUGUGUUCAAAAUCAACAAGGAUGGGAAUCUUGUCAUCUUGAACGCUCAGAAUCGGGUGAUAUGGUCAACAAACAUUUCAGUUUCAAGCAACUCAACAAGAACAGCUCAGAUUCUCGAUUCAGGAAACCUGAUCCUGCGAGAUGAUGAAACCGGAGAAACAGUUUGGGACACUUACUCCCAUCCUAGCGGAUCAGCUGUCCCAGGAAUGAGAAUCUCAACGAACCGAAUCACCGGGGAGAAAAUCCAGUACACCUCAUGGAAAAACAACACUGAUCCUUCUUCAGGCUACUUCACAGCUAGCCUAGAACGGUUGGACACUCCAGAAGUGUUUUUCUGGCGCAACAAAACUCAUCCAUAUUGGAGAACUGGUCCAUGGAAUGGACGAGUUUUCCUCGGCGCACCGAGGAUGCUAACUGAGUAUCUGGCUGGAUGGGAAUUUCAAAAGGAUGAUGGUCAUGGAAAUUCUUAUCUUACUUACAAUUACGGUAAGCAGAACACCUUUGGAAUUCUGCGCAUGACUUCUAAUGGUACACUUCAAUAUAUAAACUUUUACAACAAGACGGAAGCGUAUAGACUCGAGGUGGGUCAAAAUGUGUGUGAUUUCUAUGGCACUUGUGGGGCUUUUGGGAACUGUGACGCUUUCAGUGACCCGAUUUGCAGCUGUUUUGAGGGGUUUAGGCCGAGGGAUGCGGAGGCGUGGAGCGCAAAGAAUUGGACCGGCGGGUGUGUGAGGACGGCGGAGCUGCGGUGUGAGGAGGUGAAGAAUGGGAGUGAAGUGCAGCAAGAUGAGUUUUUGUUGUUUAAUAAUAUGAAGGUGCCCGAUUUUGCAGAGUUAUCUGGUGGGGAGCAAGAUAAGUGUCGGCCGGAUUGCUUAGCAAAUUGUUCUUGCUUGGCGUAUGCGUAUGACCUUACUAUUGGUUGCAUGUAUUGGAGUAGGGAUUUGAUUGACUUGCAGAAAUUUGAAAAGAGAGGUGUUGAUCUCUUCAUUCGUGUGCCUGCAGAACUAGGUGUGUCUUCUUCUCUCUUUCAUUUUUAGAAUCCUCUGGUUCCGUUCCAUGUGUUCUUUCAAAGUUUACCAUUAGAAAAAAUAUAUAUAAAAAAACAGAUCGAGAUAUACUCUUUGUUCUUACACACGGCCGUCAGCCCUCUGAUUUAGGAAUUAGAGUCUCAGAUCUAAGGAUUUGAGCCCAGAUCUAGGUUUCUCGAGUCCUAGGAUUUCUAGCCGUCAAGACAAUAAAUAUAAGAGUAAAUGAGAAUUUGUCUUAUUCAAUGAGGGGUCUUGCUUUUUAUAGUGGAGUCAAACAUUAAACAUAAAUCUAUUACAUUUGGGCCUUAACUAGGCGUCUUGGCCUUUGCUAUCUAUGGGCCCAAUCCGCUAGUAUUCGAUCAGCUUUAAGCUGCUAGAGUCGACGUGCCAAGACCGCGAGGUCCUUUGAAUAGAGGUUGAAUCGCCAUAAAGGGGCGAGUCCGGUCCACCUGCCCGCAAAACAUCAAAUCCUCGUGCAAAAGGAUGAAGUGCGUUUUUAGCAUUGAGUUCCAGUGUCCUAAAAGUCUUUGAGUUGAGGUCGAGUCGCCCUAAAGGAAGCGAGUCCAAUCCACUCUUUGUUGAAGUUAAAAGAUGUAUCAAGAUGUCCUACUUAUCCAUUUUCAUAUUUUCUAAUGCUAAAUUAAAUAAGUUCUAAGUUUUCAACUUGUUUUAUUUUUUAUACAGUUAAAAGCAAAGGGGGGAAAGGAAACAUGACAUUGAUUAUUGCCAUUUCUGUGGCAAUUGGAGCAGUUACCUUAGCUGUUUGUUCAUAUAUUUUGUGGCGGAAAUU